Long non-coding RNA from Notolabrus celidotus (New Zealand spotty), 713 nucleotides. RefSeq lists it as uncharacterized. The transcript has 2 exons. NCBI's taxonomy places the organism in Eukaryota, Metazoa, Chordata, Actinopteri, Labriformes, Labridae. The record is from RefSeq and is a predicted model, not a curated record.
UCCUGGAUGGACCGUGAACGCACCCCGCCCCUCUCCUCUUCUCUCACGCUGUCAUUUUAAACAACAGAACAGAAGAUGACCACUGACUGAGAGUUGAAACCACAUCGAGCUGCAGAGUCUAAUAUGCUGCUGCAGAGUGUUUCUUUUUUUUGCAACCUUUAAAUGAUGUGAGGAAAAUGUGGGAACAAGUCGUUAUCUCCACGACAACGUGACAGGGUUUGAAGCAGCUGGAACAAAGCAAACACACAGACAUCAGCUCAGAACACCAAAGAAGCACAUGGCUUCGGCACGCGUCGACUGUUGCCUACCGGCGACUCUGCCGCGCUGUGAUUGGCUGAAUCUAGGUCACUCGCUGGAGCUCUCCGCCUCCCAUUGGUUAAAAAUAGGUCAAAGUCUCCGCCCACAGUUUCCCCAAUGCUAUGGCCGCGUGACAUGCCGGCUGUCAGGGGGGAAACACAAAGGAGGGAGGAGGUGGGGGAGUUAUUGUGUGGAUUAGUGUUUCACUUCUGAGGGAGAGAGGAGAGAUCACAUCAGUUUUUUGUGUCUGUGUGAACAAUAAUACUGAAGGAGAGAAAAUAUGAGACAUUUCAAUUUACUACAUGUUAAAAAAUAUAUAUUAAUAACUGUCUUUAUGCCUGUUUACUGCUAGAAUAUAGACAUACGCUGCUUUUAAUUGACAUGUAAGACUGAUUUAAUUAAAAUGAGUGACCUGA